Long non-coding RNA from Cottoperca gobio, 265 nucleotides. RefSeq lists it as uncharacterized. The record is from RefSeq and is a predicted model, not a curated record. The transcript has 3 exons. Lineage: Eukaryota; Metazoa; Chordata; Actinopteri; Perciformes; Bovichtidae.
GAAAAACAGAAGACUACUCUAAGUGCCAUCACUUUUUUCACUUCAGGAAGCAGAGGAUGGACAUGAUCUUGGAGAUACAGUCAAAAUGUGACCAUCCCACCGGAGCAGCAGGCUGAGGCUACUCUCUGAGCUGCAGACUACCACCAUGCAUAAAUACCAGGAAGUGGCCCAGGUGAAGGUGGACGUCGGUAAACUCAAGUCUCAGAUUGUGGAGUCUCCAGAGGAGCUGAAGAGUCAGAUGGAGAAGAUGAGGGAGAACGUCAAG